CUAAGAAUAUUCCGCAAUGGACGGAAGUCUGACGGAGCGACGCCGCGUGGAUGACGAAGGCCGAAAGGUUGUAAAGUUCUUUUGCUGGGGAAGAAUAACCGCAGGAGGGAAUGCCUGUGGGAUGACAAGAACCGGCGAAUAAGCCCCGGCCAACUACGUGCCAGCAGCCGCGGUAACACGUAGGGGGCGAGCGUUGUUCGGAAUUACUGGGCGUAAAGGGCAUGUAGGCGGCUUGGAAAGCCUGGCGUGAAAGUCUGCAGCUUAACUGCAGGGGUGCGCUGGGAACUGCUGAGCUUGAGUGACGGAGAGGGAGCUGGAAUUCCGGGUGUAGGGGUGAAAUCUGUAGAUAUCAGGAAGAACACCGAUGGCGAAGGCAAGCUCCUGGCCGAUGACUGACGCUGAGGUGCGAAAGCGUGGGGAGCA
This 423-nucleotide ribosomal RNA is filed under the name uncultured bacterium. Its description in RNAcentral is "bacterial SSU rRNA". It matches the Rfam family "Bacterial small subunit ribosomal RNA", at positions 355 to 770 of the family's 1533-position model. The record is from RNAcentral.